RNAcentral lists this ribosomal RNA (372 nucleotides) under uncultured organism. RNAcentral's name for it is "bacterial SSU rRNA". It matches the Rfam family "Bacterial small subunit ribosomal RNA", at positions 526 to 897 of the family's 1533-position model. The record is from RNAcentral.
CGUAGGGUCCGAGCGUUAAUCGGAAUUACUGGGCGUAAAGCGUGCGCAGGCGGUUUUGUAAGCCAGAUGUGAAAGCCCCGGGCUUAACCUGGGAAUGGCAUUUGGGACUGCAAGGCUGGAGUACGGCAGAGGGAGGUGGAAUUCCACGUGUAGCAGUGAAAUGCGUAGAGAUGUGGAGGAACACCGAUGGCGAAGGCAGCCUCCUGGGCUAGUACUGACGCUCAUGCACGAAAGCGUGGGGAGCAAACAGGAUUAGAUACCCUGGUAGUCCACGCCCUAAACGAUGACAACUAGUUGUUGGAGAUUUAACAUCCUUAGUAACGCAGCUAACGCGUGAAGUUGUCCGCCUGGGGAGUACGGUCGCAAGAUUAA